GAUGAACGCUGGCGGCGUGCCUAAUACAUGCAAGUCGAGCGAACAGACGAGGAUCUUGCUCCUCUGACGUUAGCGGCGGACGGGUGAGUAACACGUGGAUAACCUACCUAUAAGACUGGGAUAACUUCGGGAAACCGGAGCUAAUACCGGAUAAUAUAUUGAACCGCAUGGUUCAAUAGUGAAAGACGGUUUUGCUGUCACUUAUAGAUGGAUCCGCGCCGCAUUAGCUAGUUGGUAAGGUAACGGCUUACCAAGGCAACGAUGCGUAGCCGACCUGAGAGGGUGAUCGGCCACACUGGAACUGAGACACGGUCCAGACUCCUACGGGAGGCAGCAGUAGGGAAUCUUCCGCAAUGGGCGAAAGCCUGACGGAGCAACGCCGCGUGAGUGAUGAAGGUAUUCGGAUCGUAAAACUCUGUUAUUAGGGAAGAACAAAUGUGUAAGUAACUAUGCACGUCUUGACGGUACCUAAUCAGAAAGCCACGGCUAACUACGUG
Molecule: ribosomal RNA, 497 nt
Filed under: uncultured bacterium
Lineage: Bacteria
Description: partial 16S ribosomal RNA
Rfam family: Bacterial small subunit ribosomal RNA
Source: RNAcentral